RNAcentral lists this ribosomal RNA (1522 nucleotides) under Escherichia coli. RNAcentral's name for it is "bacterial SSU rRNA". It matches the Rfam family "Bacterial small subunit ribosomal RNA". The record is from RNAcentral. Lineage: Bacteria; Pseudomonadati; Pseudomonadota; Gammaproteobacteria; Enterobacterales; Enterobacteriaceae.
AGAGUUUGAUCAUGGCUCAGAUUGAACGCUGGCGGCAGGCCUAACACAUGCAAGUCGAACGGUAACAGGAAGAAGCUUGCUUCUUUGCUGACGAGUGGCGGACGGGNGAGUAAUGUCUGGGAAACUGCCUGAUGGAGGGGGAUAACUACUGGAAACGGUAGCUAAUACCGCAUAACGUCGCAAGACCAAAGAGGGGGACCUUCGGGCCUCUUGCCAUCGGAUGUGCCCAGAUGGGAUUAGCUUGUUGGUGGGGUAACGGCUCACCAAGGCGACGAUCCCUAGCUGGUCUGAGAGGAUGACCAGCCACACUGGAACUGAGACACGGUCCAGACUCCUACGGGAGGCAGCAGUGGGGAAUAUUGCACAAUGGGCGCAAGCCUGAUGCAGCCAUGCCGCGUGUAUGAAGAAGGCCUUCGGGUUGUAAAGUACUUUCAGCGGGGAGGAAGGGAGUAAAGUUAAUACCUUUGCUCAUUGACGUUACCCGCAGAAGAAGCACCGGCUAACUCCGUGCCAGCAGCCGCGGUAAUACGGAGGGUGCAAGCGUUAAUCGGAAUUACUGGGCGUAAAGCGCACGCAGGCGGUUUGUUAAGUCAGAUGUGAAAUCCCCGGGCUCAACCUGGGAACUGCAUCUGAUACUGGCAAGCUUGAGUCUCGUAGAGGGGGGUAGAAUUCCAGGUGUAGCGGUGAAAUGCGUAGAGAUCUGGAGGAAUACCGGUGGCGAAGGCGGCCCCCUGGACGAAGACUGACGCUCAGGUGCGAAAGCGUGGGGAGCAAACAGGAUUAGAUACCCUGGUAGUCCACGCCGUAAACGAUGUCGACUUGGAGGUUGUGCCCUUGAGGCGUGGCUUCCGGAGCUAACGCGUUAAGUCGACCGCCUGGGGAGUACGGCCGCAAGGUUAAAACUCAAAUGAAUUGACGGGGGCCCGCACAAGCGGUGGAGCAUGUGGUUUAAUUCGAUGCAACGCGAAGAACCUUACCUGGUCUUGACAUCCACAGAACUUUCCAGAGAUGGAUUGGUGCCUUCGGGAACUGUGAGACAGGUGCUGCAUGGCUGUCGUCAGCUCGUGUUGUGAAAUGUUGGGUUAAGUCCCGCAACGAGCGCAACCCUUAUCCUUUGUUGCCAGCGGUCCGGCCGGGAACUCAAAGGAGACUGCCAGUGAUAAACUGGAGGAAGGUGGGGAUGACGUCAAGUCAUCAUGGCCCUUACGACCAGGGCUACACACGUGCUACAAUGGCGCAUACAAAGAGAAGCGACCUCGCGAGAGCAAGCGGACCUCAUAAAGUGCGUCGUAGUCCGGAUUGGAGUCUGCAACUCGACUCCAUGAAGUCGGAAUCGCUAGUAAUCGUGGAUCAGAAUGCCACGGUGAAUACGUUCCCGGGCCUUGUACACACCGCCCGUCACACCAUGGGAGUGGGUUGCAAAAGAAGUAGGUAGCUUAACCUUCGGGAGGGCGCUUACCACUUUGUGAUUCAUGACUGGGGUGAAGUCGUAACAAGGUAACCGUAGGGGAACCUGCGGUUG